Molecule: transfer RNA, 74 nt
Filed under: Bacillus phage vB_BanS-Thrax3
Lineage: Duplodnaviria; Heunggongvirae; Uroviricota; Caudoviricetes
Description: tRNA-Arg
Rfam family: tRNA
About the family: Transfer RNA (tRNA) molecules are approximately 80 nucleotides in length.
Source: RNAcentral
CUCCACUUAGCUCAAUUGGAUAGAGCGGUAGGUUUCUACCCUAUAGGUUAGGGGUUCAAGUCCUCUAGUGGAGG